CGCCGCGGCUGGGAAGUCCGGGCGGCCGGGACCCGCGCGCGCUGCCCGGCCCGGCCGGAGCCUGUAGCCCGGAGUAGCCAUGGCCGGGCUCACAGCCCCCGCACGCCGGCCACCGGCCCCCGCCAAGCCAGUGUCCUAAGCCUGUGGUUUCCCUUCGCUUCUCGCCUCCCAAACACCUCCAACAAGUCGGAGGGCGCGAACGCGGAGCCAGAAACCCUUCCCCAAAGUUUCUCCCGCCAGGGACACCGGCUUGGAUGAGACACAGGCGUGGACAACAGUCUUCGUGAAUCUCCACAAACACGUGGAACUUGAAAAUACAACUACUGCCCCGUGUGUGCGCGUGAGACCUCACGUCACCCCAUCAAUUCCCACUUCGCCAAAGUUUCCCUUCAGUGGGGGCUCUGGAGUGGCGUGCCCCACGCCCGUCCGUCCUGCCACUUGCCCUGAUUGUGUACCCCUCUGCCCCCUCUACUUAAAAUGAAAAAAACAAAAACUGUUCCUAAUUAGCGAAACUUUAAAA
This is a non-coding RNA of Macaca mulatta (Rhesus monkey), 520 nucleotides long. The record is from RefSeq and is a predicted model, not a curated record. Lineage: Eukaryota; Metazoa; Chordata; Mammalia; Primates; Cercopithecidae.